This 295-nucleotide long non-coding RNA is filed under the name Carica papaya (papaya). RNAcentral's name for it is "long non-coding RNA (CPAP_LNC006386)". The record is from RNAcentral. Lineage: Eukaryota; Viridiplantae; Streptophyta; Magnoliopsida; Brassicales; Caricaceae.
UUUCUUCUAGCAAGUUACAUAAGGUUAUUAGAACACGAAGUAAGAGAGUGGCAGAGAGAAAAUUGUGAAUUUAGAUGGCAGGAUCAAUGAUCUGAAUAAGGAAAUCAACCAGGCAAUAAAGGUUAAACAAAAUUAUCUGCUCAACCAUUGGAAUAGCAUCAAACUUGGGGAAAAGAGAAUGGAAAGAUGGAGUUUACUAUAGACUGAGGAGAGCAUUUGGAGACAGAGAUCUAAGAAUCAAUUGGUUGGGAGAUGGGGAUAAUAAUAUCAAAUUUUUUCAUCAACCAAUAUUAAG